CAGUAGCCGCGGUAAUACGAAGGGUGCAAGCGUUACUCGGAAUUACUGGGCGUAAAGCGUGCGUAGGUGGUGGUUUAAGUCCGUUGUGAAAGCCCUGGGCUCAACCUGGGAAUUGCAGUGGAUACUGGAUCACUAGAGUGUGGUAGAGGAUAGUGGAAUUUCCGGUGUAGCAGUGAAAUGCGUAGAGAUCGGAAGGAACAUCUGUGGCGAAGGCGACUAUCUGGGCCAACACUGACACUGAGGCACGAAAGCGUGGGGAGCAAACAGGAUUAGAUACCCCCGUAGUCCCUGUCUCUUAUAC
Molecule: ribosomal RNA, 301 nt
Filed under: uncultured bacterium
Lineage: Bacteria
Description: partial 16S ribosomal RNA
Rfam family: Bacterial small subunit ribosomal RNA
Source: RNAcentral